This 411-nucleotide ribosomal RNA is filed under the name Bacillota bacterium. RNAcentral describes it as "Firmicutes bacterium partial 16S ribosomal RNA". It matches the Rfam family "Bacterial small subunit ribosomal RNA", at positions 355 to 776 of the family's 1533-position model. The record is from RNAcentral. Lineage: Bacteria; Bacillati; Bacillota.
UGGGGAAUAUUGCACAAUGGGCGCAAGCCUGAUGCAGCGACGCCGCGUGGGGGAUGACGGCCUUCGGGUUGUAAACUCCUUUCGCUAGGGACGAAGCUUUUUGUGACGGUACCUAGAUAAGAAGCACCGGCUAACUACGUGCCAGCAGCCGCGGUAAUACGUAGGGUGCGAGCGUUGUCCGGAAUUACUGGGCGUAAAGGGCUCGUAGCUGGUUUGUCGCGUCGUCUGUGAAAUUCCGGGGCUUAACUCCGGGCGUGCAGGCGAUACGGGCAUAACUUGAGUACUGUAGGGGUAACUGGAAUUCCUGGUGUAGCGGUGAAAUGCGCAGAUAUCAGGAGGAACACCGAUGGCGAAGGCAGGUUACUGGGCAGUUACUGACGCUGAGGAGCGAAAGCAUGGGUAGCGAACAGG